CUGACCGAUAGUGAACCAGUACCGUGAGGGAAAGGCGAAAAGAACCCCGGCGAGGGGAGUGAAAAAGAACCUGAAACCGUGUACGUACAAGCAGUGGGAGCACAGGUUUACCUGUGUGACUGCGUACCUUUUGUAUAAUGGGUCAGCGACUUAUAUUCUGUAGCAAGGUUAACCGUAUAGGGGAGCCGAAGGGAAACCGAGUCUUAACCGGGCGUUAAGUUGCAGGGUAUAGACCCGAAACCCGGUGAUCUAGCCAUGGGCAGGUUGAAGGUUGGGUAACACUAACUGGAGGACCGAACCGACUAAUGUUGAAAAAUUAGCGGAUGACCUGUGGCUGGGGGUGAAAGGCCAAUCAAACCGGGAGAUAGCUGGUUCUCCCCGAAAGCUAUUUAGGUAGCGCCUCGUGAAUUCAUCUCCGGGGGUAGAGCACUGUUUCGGCUAGGGGGCCAUCCCGGCUUACCAACCCGAUGCAAACUGCGAAUACCGGAGAAUGUUAUCACGGGAGACACACGGCGGGUGCUAACGUCCGUCGUGAAGAGGGAAACAACCCAGACCGC
RNAcentral lists this ribosomal RNA (557 nucleotides) under Salmonella enterica subsp. enterica. RNAcentral describes it as "partial 23S ribosomal RNA". It matches the Rfam family "Bacterial large subunit ribosomal RNA", at positions 480 to 1035 of the family's 2925-position model. The record is from RNAcentral. Lineage: Bacteria; Pseudomonadati; Pseudomonadota; Gammaproteobacteria; Enterobacterales; Enterobacteriaceae.